GUUCGGUUUUUGGCGUGAACGAUCAUGCUCGUCUUUGGCGUGCAAGUGACUAUUGGAUCCUCUUGGCUACGUUGAGAUGCCCAUUGUGCCCAUGGGAUGGAUCCCAACAAAGAUUUUAAUAAAAUGGUAUACUUAGACCCCCUUGGGUUUUCUCGAGAAAUACUUAGACUGCAAAAUUUCUUUUGAGACGUAUGUCCCAAAAAAAAAUAACAUACAUGAGGGGGGUGGUUGCUUACUUGCUUCAUCCCUUUCGAGGUGUAUAGGUAUGA
This 269-nucleotide long non-coding RNA is filed under the name Phoenix dactylifera (date palm). RNAcentral describes it as "long non-coding RNA (PDAC_LNC003530)". Lineage: Eukaryota; Viridiplantae; Streptophyta; Magnoliopsida; Arecales; Arecaceae. The record is from RNAcentral.